CGCCUUGCCAGCCCGCUCAGAACUCAAAGGAAUUGAGGGGGCCCGCACAAGCGGUGGAGCAUGUGGUUUAAUUCGAUGAUACGCGAGGAACCUUACCUGGGCUCAAAUGUAUGUUGACGUAUUCUGAAAGGGAUACUUCUUCGGACAAUAUACAAGGUGCUGCAUGGUUGUCGUCAGCUCGUGCCGUGAGGUGUCGGGUUAAGUCCCAUAACGAGCGCAACCCCUAUCAUUAGUUGCCAUCAGGUCAAGCUGGGGACUCUAAUGAAACUGCCUACGCAAGUAGUGAGGAAGGUGGGGAUGACGUCAAAUCAUCAUGGCCCUUACGGCCUGGGCUACACACGUGCUACAAUGGUCGGUACAAAGGGUUGCCAAGCCGCGAGGUGGAGCUAAUCCCAUAAAACCGAUCGUAGUCCGGAUCGCAGUCUGCAACUCGACUGCGUGAAGUCGGAAUCGCUAGUAAUCGUGAAUCAGAAUGUCACGGUGAAUACGUUCCCGGGCCUU
This 501-nucleotide ribosomal RNA is filed under the name uncultured Sphingobacteriales bacterium. RNAcentral's name for it is "bacterial SSU rRNA". It matches the Rfam family "Bacterial small subunit ribosomal RNA", at positions 903 to 1382 of the family's 1533-position model. The record is from RNAcentral. Lineage: Bacteria; Pseudomonadati; Bacteroidota; Sphingobacteriia; Sphingobacteriales.